Molecule: long non-coding RNA, 1169 nt
Organism: Marmota monax (woodchuck)
Lineage: Eukaryota; Metazoa; Chordata; Mammalia; Rodentia; Sciuridae
Exons: 3
Source: RefSeq, a predicted model, not a curated record
GGGGAGGGGGUUUCAGCAACUUUUGGCUAGUAGCUAUCCCUGUAUAAGUUCUUUCUAGACAGGAUGUUUAAGAGAUCUCACUGCAGGGUGUUCCCUCUGGUUUUUGUCUGUUGCUAUCUGGAGGUGGAAAGAUGUCAUGUUGAUUUAAAGGACUACUAGUCAGCUGCAGGCUCCAGGAAUUGCUGCAGAAUCAGCCAGCCAUGAGUUCUACAUAUCUUCCUCAUAAGGUCUUCUGUGCUCUCCUUGCCCAACUCACAGUUCCUCUGAUCACGAAGGCUCCUCCAGGAGUGUAUACAAAGAUGGGUAUUAUAGAGCUCCAUAUGAUCCACCAUAUGUUGCAUGCACAACAGGAAAGAAAGAGAAAAAACAUUGUGAUUCAAAGUCAAUGAUCUUGUCUGGUUUAAAACAAGGAGCAAUCAAGAUGAAGUUCUUCUCAAACUAUUUCUCUUAUGGGACCCACCUGCCUUUAUUCUCAGUUGGUGUCAAGGUAUCCUCUUGGCAGCAGGAGGAGGCAAGACCUCAGGUCUGUGUGCUAUCCUGUAGCCUUCAUUGGUCCCCGGGGAGUACUGGAGAGGAUGUGGGGAAAAGGGUACUCUUGUACAUUGCUGGUGGGACUGCAAACUGGUGCGGCCAAUUUGGAAAGCAGUAUGGAGAUUCCUGGGAAUGCUGGGAAUGGAACCACCAUUUGACCCAGCUAUUGCCCUUCUUGGACUAUUCCCUUAAGACCUUAAAAGAGCAUACUACAGGGAUACUGCUACAUCGAUGUUCAUAGCAACACAAUUCACAAUUGCUAGACUGUGGAACCAACCCAGAUGCCCUUCAAUAGAUGAAUGGAUAAAAAAAAUGUGGCAUUUUUACACCAUGGAGUAUUACGCAGCACUAAAAAAUGACAAAAUCAUAGAAUUUGCAGGGAAAUGGAUGGCACUAGAGCAGAUUAUGCUUAGUGAAGCUAGCCAAUCCCUAAAAAAACAAAUGCCAAAUGUCUUCUUUGAUAUAAGGAGAGUAACUAAGAACAGAGUAGGGAUGAAGAGCAUGAGAAGAAGAUUAACAUUAAACAGAGAUGAGAGGUGGGAGGGAAAGGGAGAGAAAAGGGAAAUUGCAUGGUAAUGGAGGGAGACCCUCAUUGUUAUACAAAAUUACAUAUAAGAGGUUGUGAGGGGAAUGGGAAA